Molecule: microRNA precursor, 156 nt
Filed under: Populus trichocarpa (black cottonwood)
Lineage: Eukaryota; Viridiplantae; Streptophyta; Magnoliopsida; Malpighiales; Salicaceae
Description: MIR2912 microRNA precursor family
Rfam family: MIR2912 microRNA precursor family
Source: Rfam by way of RNAcentral
GGUCGAACCCGAGAUAUGGGCCGAACACUGAACAGUGUCUGGGCUGCAGGACAAAUUCUGACUUCUCCGUUGUUGCUACAAUUUAAACUUGAAAACGACCUUUUGGAAUCUUGGAUUUUUCAUGAAAGUUUUAGGCUUAUGUCUUAGCUUUCCAUC